CCUACGGGAGGCAGCAGUGGGGAAUCUUGCGCAAUGGGCGAAAGCCUGACGCAGCCAUGCCGCGUGAAUGAUGAAGGUCUUAGGAUUGUAAAAUUCUUUCACCGGGGACGAUAAUGACGGUACCCGGAGAAGAAGCCCCGGCUAACUUCGUGCCAGCAGCCGCGGUAAUACGAAGGGGGCUAGCGUUGCUCGGAAUUACUGGGCGUAAAGGGAGCGUAGGCGGAUAGUUUAGUCAGAGGUGAAAGCCCAGGGCUCAACCUUGGAAUUGCCUUUGAUACUGGCUAUCUUGAGUAUGGGAGAGGUAUGCGGAACUCCGAGUGUAGAGGUGAAAUUCGUAGAUAUUCGGAAGAACACCAGUGGCGAAGGCGGCAUACUGGCCCAUUACUGACGCUGAGGCUCGAAAGCGUGGGGAGCAAACAGGAUUAGAUACCCUGGUAGUCCACGCUGUAAACGAUGAGUGCUAGUUGUCGGCAUGCAUGCAUGUCGGUUGACGCAGCUAACGACAUAAGACACUCCGCCGUCGGGGAGGUACGGUCGGCGAAGUAAGUUAAAACGUUAAAAGUUAAAGUUAGUUACGGCGUGAGACGUUGCCGACGGACGACGACGAGGGGAGGAGG
This 617-nucleotide ribosomal RNA is filed under the name uncultured bacterium. Its description in RNAcentral is "bacterial SSU rRNA". The stretch from base 1 to 519 matches the Rfam family "Bacterial small subunit ribosomal RNA", at positions 338 to 873 of the family's 1533-position model. The record is from RNAcentral.